CCAGCAGCCGCGGUAAUACGUAGGGUCCGAGCGUUGUCCGGGAAUUACUGGGCGUAAAGAGCUCGUAGGUGGUUUGUCGCGUUGUUCGUGAAAACUCACAGCUUAACUGUGGGCGUGCGGGCGAUACGGGCAGACUAGAGUACUGCAGGGGAGACUGGAAUUCCUGGUGUAGCGGUGGAAUGCGCAGAUAUCAGGAGGAACACCGGUGGCGAAGGCGGGUCUCUGGGCAGUAACUGACGCUGAGGAGCGAAAGCGUGGGGAGCGAACAGGAUUAGAUACCCUGGUAGUCCACGCCGUAAACGGUGGGUACUAGGUGUGGGUUUCCUUCCUUGGGAUCCGUGCCGUAGCUAACGCAUUAAGUACCCCGCCUGGGGAGUACGGCCGCAAGGCUAAAACUCAAAGAAAUUGACGGGGGCCCGCACAAGCGGCGGAGCAUGUGGAUUAAUUCGAUGCAACGCGAAGAACCUUACCUGGGUUUGACAUGCACAGGACGUGCCUAGAGAUAGGUAUUCCCUUGUGGCCUGUGUGCAGGUGGUGCAUGGCUGUCGUCAGCUCGUGUCGUGAGAUGUUGGGUUAAGUCCCGCAACGAGCGCAACCCUCGUCCUAUGUUGCCAGCGGGUUAUGCCGGGGACUCGUAGGAGACUGCCGGGGUCAACUCGGAGGAAGGUGGGGAUGACGUCAAGUCAUCAUGCCCCUUAUGUCCAGGGCUUCACACAUGCUACAAUGGCCGGUACAAAGGGCUGCGAUGCCGCGAGGUGGAGCGAAUCCUUUAAAGCCGGUCUCAGUUCGGAUUGGGGUCUGCAACUCGACCCCAUGAAGUCGGAGUCGCUAGUAAUCGCAGAUCAGCAACGCUGCGGUGAAUACGUUCCCGGGCCUUGUACACACCGCCCGUCACGUCAUGAAAGUCGGUAACACCCG
Molecule: ribosomal RNA, 918 nt
Filed under: Mycobacterium sp.
Lineage: Bacteria; Bacillati; Actinomycetota; Actinomycetes; Mycobacteriales; Mycobacteriaceae
Description: bacterial SSU rRNA
Rfam family: Bacterial small subunit ribosomal RNA
Source: RNAcentral